RNAcentral lists this ribosomal RNA (524 nucleotides) under uncultured bacterium. Its description in RNAcentral is "bacterial SSU rRNA". It matches the Rfam family "Bacterial small subunit ribosomal RNA", at positions 356 to 896 of the family's 1533-position model. The record is from RNAcentral.
GGGGAAUAUUGCACAAUGGGGGAAACCCUGAUGCAGCGACGCCGCGUGAGUGAAGAAGUAUUUCGGUAUGUAAAGCUCUAUCAGCAGGGAAGAAAAUGACGGUACCUGAGUAAGAAGCCCCGGCUAACUACGUGCCAGCAGCCGCGGUAAUACGCAGGGGGCAAGCGUUAUCCGGAUUUACUGGGUGUAAAGGGAGCGCAGGCGGUUUGGCAAGUUGAGAGUGGAAGCAGGGGGCUCAACCCCCUGACUGCUCCCAAAACUGUUAAACUUGAGUAUGGGAGAGGCAGGCGGAAUUCCUAGUGUAGCGGUGAAAUGCUUAGAUAUUAGGAAGAACACCGGUGGCGAAGGCGGCCUGCUGGACCAAAACUGACGCUGAGGCUCGAAAGCGUGGGUAGCAAACAGGAUUAGAUACCCUGGUAGUCCACGCUGUAAACGAUGAAUACUAGGUGCUGGGAGGCAUAAGCCUUUCGGUGCCGUCGCAAACGCAUUAAGUAUUCCACCUGGGGAGUACGUUCGCAAGAAUG